Molecule: transfer RNA, 74 nt
Filed under: Macaca mulatta (Rhesus monkey)
Lineage: Eukaryota; Metazoa; Chordata; Mammalia; Primates; Cercopithecidae
Rfam family: tRNA
About the family: Transfer RNA (tRNA) molecules are approximately 80 nucleotides in length. Their secondary structure includes four short double-helical elements and three loops (D, anti-codon, and T loops). Further hydrogen bonds mediate the characteristic L-shaped molecular structure. tRNAs have two regions of fundamental functional importance: the anti-codon, which is responsible for specific mRNA codon recognition, and the 3' end, to which the tRNAs corresponding amino acid is attached (by aminoacyl-tRNA synthetases). tRNAs cope with the degeneracy of the genetic code in two manners: having more than one tRNA (with a specific anti-codon) for a particular amino acid; and 'wobble' base-pairing, i.e. permitting non-standard base-pairing at the 3rd anti-codon position.
Source: Rfam by way of RNAcentral
GGUCUGUUAGCUCAGUUGGUAAGAGCGUGGUGCUGAUAACGCCAAGGUCGUGGGCUCGAUUCCCCCACCGGCCA